RNAcentral lists this ribosomal RNA (409 nucleotides) under uncultured bacterium. RNAcentral's name for it is "bacterial SSU rRNA". It matches the Rfam family "Bacterial small subunit ribosomal RNA", at positions 28 to 437 of the family's 1533-position model. The record is from RNAcentral.
GACGAACGCUGGCGGCGCGCCUAACACAUGCAAGUCGAACGGAGUUUCCCCUUCGGGGGGAGCUUAGUGGCGGACGGGUGAGUAACACGUGAGGAACCUGCCUUUGAGAGCGGGAUACCGUCUGGAAACGGACGUUAAUACCGCAUAAUGCAGCGAGGCCACAUGGCCAUGCUGCCAAAGAUUUAUCGCUCAAAGAUGGCCUCGCGCCUGAUUAGAUAGUUGGCGGGGUAACGGCCCACCAAGUCUGCGAUCAGUAGCCGGACUGAGAGGUCGAACGGCCACAUUGGGACUGAGAUACGGCCCAGACUCCUACGGGAGGCAGCAGUGGGGGAUAUUGCACAAUGGGCGAAAGCCUGAUGCAGCGACGCCGCGUGAGGGAAGACGGUUUUCGGAUUGGUAAACCUCUGUC